Molecule: ribosomal RNA, 462 nt
Filed under: uncultured bacterium
Lineage: Bacteria
Description: bacterial SSU rRNA
Rfam family: Bacterial small subunit ribosomal RNA
Source: RNAcentral
GACGAACGCUGGCGGCGUGCUUAACACAUGCAAGUCGAACGAUGAAGCUGGAGCUUGCUCCAGUGGAUUAGUGGCGAACGGGUGAGUAACACGUGAGCAAUCUGCCCUUGACUCUGGGAUAACUGCGGGAAACUGUAGCUAAUACCGGAUACGACACCUUGGGGCAUCCCGAGGUGUGGAAAGAAUUUCGGUCAAGGAUGAGCUCGCGGCCUAUCAGCUUGUUGGUGAGGUAAAAGCUCACCAAGGCGACGACGGGUAGCCGGCCUGAGAGGGUGACCGGCCACACUGGAACUGAGAUACGGUCCAGACUCCUACGGGAGGCAGCAGUGGGGAAUAUUGGACAAUGGGCGCAAGCCUGAUCCAGCAAUGCCGCGUGGGUGAAGAAGGUCUUCGGAUCGUAAAGCCCUUUCGACAGGGACGAUGAUGACGGUACCUGUAGAAGAAGCCCCGGCUAACUUCGUG